UUGGGUGAAAUGGAGCUCCCUUCUUUCCAACAUAGUGAGGAAUAGGGUGUUUACAUCUGCUGGUUCAUGAAUACCUUUGGGUGCGCAUUUCAAAGGGGUACGCGCAGUUUAAGGGUGGGCAUGAACCAGGAGAUGAGAUUGCCUUCUUCUUUUCUAUCUUGGAUUGAAGGGAGCUCCAAUGACGUCUCUC
This 190-nucleotide microRNA precursor is filed under the name Nelumbo nucifera (sacred lotus). Its description in RNAcentral is "MIR159 microRNA precursor family". It matches the Rfam family "MIR159 microRNA precursor family". The record is from Rfam by way of RNAcentral. Lineage: Eukaryota; Viridiplantae; Streptophyta; Magnoliopsida; Proteales; Nelumbonaceae.